Molecule: ribosomal RNA, 253 nt
Filed under: uncultured bacterium
Lineage: Bacteria
Description: partial 16S ribosomal RNA
Rfam family: Bacterial small subunit ribosomal RNA
Source: RNAcentral
UACGAAGGGUGCAAGCGUUAAUCGGAAUUACUGGGCGUAAAGGGUGCGUAGGCGGUUGUUUAAGUCUGUCGUGAAAUCCCCGGGCUCAACCUGGGAAUGGCGAUGGAUACUGGACAGCUAGAGUGUGUCAGAGGAUGGUGGAAUUCCCGGUGUAGCGGUGAAGUGCGUGGAGAUCGGGAGGAACAUCAGUGGCGAAGGCGGCCAUCUGGGACAACACUGACGCUGAAGCACGAAAGCGUGGGGAGCAAACAGG